AGAGAGAGAGAGAGAGCGUGAGCAGGGGAGGGGCAGAGAGAGAGGGAGACACAGAAUCUGAAGCGGGCUCCAGGCUCUGAGCUGUCAGCACAGAGCCCGACACGGGGCUCGAACCCACAAUCCGUGAGAUCGUGACCUGAGCCCCGAAUAUGAACUGCUUCUAGAGCGACAUCAUCCUUACAUCCAGCCACACCCCUGCGUCUGGCUCAGGCCCCGGGGGAUUCCCAGAGGAAGGGGGGACAGCAGUGGCUGGUCUUUAGCCUCGGGAGUGCUGUCCAGCCCCGUUCUGCCCCCUCCAGCCCCUCCAGCCCCGUCCAACCCCGUCCAGCCCCCUCCAGCCCCGUUCUGCCCCCUCCAGCCCCGUCCAACCCCCUCUAGUCCCAUUCUGCCCCCUCCAGCCCCCUCCAGCCCCAUCCUGCCCCUUCCUGCUCUGCCUCAUCCUGCCAUGUCCACUGACAGACAUCAUGCGUUAGGUUCAGGCUGCUCUUCUGAUUUAUUGGACGCCGCCUUUCAAGUGACAUUAAAAACCACCCCUGAAGUUCCUGAAUCCCGUCCACUGGUCCCUACCUGGAACUGCCGGGGACCGUCAGGACGGGGUGCCCAGCCCCGGCGGCCUGAGCGUGGACAGGGACUCAGGGCAGCCCAGCAGGACGGGAGACAAGGGGCACUUUCGGCAUCCACCUCACUUUCCGUGUCAUUGCCCUUGCGCGAGAUGGCGGGUCUCCAGUGACAGUGUCCCCAUCCCGGAAGUUCCGUGCUGGCCGCAGGUUAGCUCUGGGGCCCGGGCUCUUCCCUGGGCUCCGGUGAGGGCCACCGAGUCGCCGCCCGGACGUGCAGGCGCUGGACGCAGCACACACGUGCUCCUCUGAAAUUCCAAAUUGCGGAAACUUCGUCUCAAUCAGCGUAGCAGAGAGUUUGGAGAGGGGGCGGUAGGCUCUGGAAAUUAAACGGCACCUUUUGGCAUCUCACGUCGGUGAGGCGGCCAACUGAUUAUUUUUAUAUUACAAUCCCCAGGCGUUGUCAAAUUGAUUAAUAAAUUCGCUGAAAACCCA
Molecule: long non-coding RNA, 1052 nt
Organism: Acinonyx jubatus (cheetah)
Lineage: Eukaryota; Metazoa; Chordata; Mammalia; Carnivora; Felidae
Exons: 2
Source: RefSeq, a predicted model, not a curated record